CACAAACAUCAAUCAUUGAGCAGUCAUUAUCCACAUUCAUUCAUCUCAAUUCAUCACCAAUCACGUAUUUCACAUAGGACUCAUGAUAUGAUAUGCACUUAUUGACCCAUAAAUGCAUGUGGUACCAAAUCUCAACAAGGUCGUCACCUUUCGAUGCCACUUGCACAUCGAAUGUAAGGGCUCAUACCUGCCUUACAAUAAUCUCGAAGUAAAAGAGUCAUCCCUUUUACAGCAACACGACUAUG
RNAcentral lists this long non-coding RNA (245 nucleotides) under Medicago truncatula (barrel medic). RNAcentral describes it as "long non-coding RNA (MTRU_LNC001706)". The record is from RNAcentral. Lineage: Eukaryota; Viridiplantae; Streptophyta; Magnoliopsida; Fabales; Fabaceae.